AGUGGGGGUUUGGCGCUUUUUUAUAAUAAUGAAUAUCAAGUUAAAAUUCUAUAUUCUAGUAAUAGAAUGAUAGAUAUUGAAGCGGUGGCCAAUGGAAAACAAGUUUUUCUCACCUUUGUCUAUGGAGAACCGGUUCAAAAAUUAAGAGAUCAGGUUUGGGAGAGAUUGACCAAGUAUGGUUUGUCGAGAUCGGAACCUUGGUUUAUCAUAGGAGACUUAAAUGAGAUUACAGGGAAUCAUGAAAAAGAUGGGGGUGCUGUGAGAUGUGCGACCUCUUUCAUAUUUUUCAACAAUAUGAUACGAAAUAGUGGAUUAUUAGAAUUUCCUGCCCGUGGAAAUACUAUGUCAUGGCAAGGACGGAGAGGUAAAGGAAAAGGAGCGGUGAUGGUAAGAUGUAGACUGGAUCGAGCUCUGGCAAAUGAGGAGUGGCAUACGCUGUUCCCAUGUUCUUAUACGGAAUAUUUGAGGUUGGUGGGAUCAGACCAUCGACCCGUAGUGGCCUUUCUGGAUGAUAAAAUACAAAGAAGAAAAAGGGGACAAUUUAGGUUCGAUAAGCGGUGGAUUGGUCAAGAGGGUCUUAUGGAUUCAAUUAUGUCAGGAUGGACAGGAAACCAGGGAGGACAAGCUGAGGAUUUUGUUACAAAAAUUAGUAAUUCAUGCUCGAAGGAGCAAAUUCCCCGUUUUAAUAUAUGAAAAUAUUAAGUUGGAAUUGCAGAGGAAUCAGGAGUCAUUGGACCAUAAGUUAUCUUCGGGAGAUAUGACAUCAACAUAGACCGGACUUUCUAUUCUUAUCAGAGACGAAACAGGAUUUUGAUUUUGUACAAAAAUAUCAAUCUCACUUUGGUUAUGAUAGUAUGGUCACUGUGGAUCCUUCUGGGAGGAGUGGGGGUUUGGCGCUUUUUUAUAAUAAUGAAUAUCAAGUUAAAAUUCUAUAUUCUAGUAAUAGAAUGAUAGAUAUUGAAGCGGUGGCCAAUGGAAAACAAGUUUUUCUCACCUUUGUCUAUGGAGAACCGGUUCAAAAAUUAAGAGAUCAGGUUUGGGAGAGAUUGACCAGGUAUGGUUUGUCGAGAUCGGAACCUUGGUUUAUUAUAGGAGACUUAAAUGAGAUUACAGGGAAUCAUGAAAAAGAUGGGGGUGCUGUGAGAUGUGCGACCUCUUUCAUAUCUUUCAACAAUAUGAUACGAAAUAGUGGAUUAUUAGAAUUUCCUGCCCGUGGAAAUACUAUGUCAUGGCAAGGACGGAGAGGUAAAGGAAAAGGAGCGGUGAUGGUAAGAUGUAGACUGGAUCGAGCUCUGGCAAAUGAGGAGUGGCAUACGCUGUUCCCAUGUUCUUAUACGGAAUAUUUGAGGUUGGUGGGAUCAGACCAUCGACCCGUAGUGGCCUUUCUGGAUGAUAAAAUACAAAGAAGAAAAAGGGGACAAUUUAGGUUCGAUAAGCGGUGGAUUGGUCAAGAGGGUCUUAUGGAUUCAAUUAUGUCAGGAUGGACAGGAAACCAGGGAGGACAAGCUGAGGAUUUUGUUACAAAAAUUAGUAAUUCCGGCAUGAGAUAUCUUCAUGGCGGAAAGAUAAUCCACCUUAUGGGAAGGACAAAAUUAAAGAUCUUCAACAGGUGUUAGAAGAA
RNAcentral lists this long non-coding RNA (1621 nucleotides) under Brassica napus (rape). RNAcentral's name for it is "long non-coding RNA (BNAP_LNC015762)". Lineage: Eukaryota; Viridiplantae; Streptophyta; Magnoliopsida; Brassicales; Brassicaceae. The record is from RNAcentral.